CACCUUCGGGUGUGAAUUAGCGGCGAACGGGUGAGGAACACGUGAGAAAUCUGCCUUCAACACUGGGAUAACUCCGGGAAACCGGGGCUAAUACCGGAUACGAGACCUGCAGGCAUCUGCGGGUCUGGAAAGUUUUUCGGUUGAAGAUGAUCUCGCGGCCUAUCAGCUUGUUGGUGAGGUAAUGGCUCACCAAGGCUUCGACGGGUAGCUGGUCUGAGAGGAUGAUCAGCCACACUGGAACUGAGACACGGUCCAGACUCC
This 261-nucleotide ribosomal RNA is filed under the name uncultured bacterium. RNAcentral describes it as "partial 16S ribosomal RNA". It matches the Rfam family "Bacterial small subunit ribosomal RNA", at positions 75 to 339 of the family's 1533-position model. The record is from RNAcentral.